RNAcentral lists this ribosomal RNA (889 nucleotides) under Enterococcus hirae. RNAcentral's name for it is "partial 23S ribosomal RNA". It matches the Rfam family "Bacterial large subunit ribosomal RNA", at positions 344 to 1235 of the family's 2925-position model. Lineage: Bacteria; Bacillati; Bacillota; Bacilli; Lactobacillales; Enterococcaceae. The record is from RNAcentral.
GGAAAAGUCAGUCAAAGAGGGUAAAAACCCCGUAGAUGAAAUUUGGAAGGCACCUAGGAGGAUCCUGAGUACGGCGGAACACGAGGAAUUCCGUCGGAAUCCGGGAGGACCAUCUCCCAAGGCUAAAUACUCCCUAGUGACCGAUAGUGAACCAGUACCGUGAGGGAAAGGUGAAAAGCACCCCGGAAGGGGAGUGAAAUAGAACCUGAAACCGUGUGCCUACAACAAGUCAAAGCCCGUUAAUGGGUGAUGGCGUGCCUUUUGUAGAAUGAACCGGCGAGUUACGAUUGCAUGCGAGGUUAAGUUGAAGAGACGGAGCCGCAGCGAAAGCGAGUCUGAAUAGGGCGUUUGAGUAUGUAGUCGUAGACCCGAAACCAUGUGAUCUACCCAUGUCCAGGUUGAAGGUGCGGUAAAACGCACUGGAGGACCGAACCCACGUACGUUGAAAAGUGCGGGGAUGAGGUGUGGGUAGCGGAGAAAUUCCAAACGAACUUGGAGAUAGCUGGUUCUCUCCGAAAUAGCUUUAGGGCUAGCCUCGGAAUUGAGAAUGAUGGAGGUAGAGCACUGUUUGGACUAGGGGCCCAUCUCGGGUUACCGAAUUCAGAUAAACUCCGAAUGCCAUUCAUUCAUAUCCGGGAGUCAGACUGUGAGUGAUAAGAUCCAUAGUCGAAAGGGAAACAGCCCAGACCACCAGCUAAGGUCCCAAAAUAUAUGUUAAGUGGAAAAGGAUGUGGGGUUGCACAGACAACUAGGAUGUUGGCUUAGAAGCAGCCACCAUUUAAAGAGUGCGUAAUAGCUCACUAGUCGAGUGACCCUGCGCCGAAAAUGUACCGGGGCUAAACAUAUUACCGAAGCUGUGGAGUACACCUUUAGGUGUAUUGGUAGGAGA